This is a long non-coding RNA of Cebus imitator (Panamanian white-faced capuchin), 379 nucleotides long. RefSeq lists it as uncharacterized. Lineage: Eukaryota; Metazoa; Chordata; Mammalia; Primates; Cebidae. The transcript is spliced from 3 exons. The record is from RefSeq and is a predicted model, not a curated record.
CCGGCCGUCCUUAGUCCCCUCCCCCUGGCGCUCCGGCUGGUUGUCACCCGCAUCCACCCAGCACCUCCCUUCCUCCUUUCCUCCGCUCCAACGUCUCCGGUAUGCCCGGCGGCCCGCCCCGCUCACCUGCGUCGACCGCUAAGGGGGCGCCCUUACCUGCGCGCCGAAAGCUCCAACCCUGAUGGCUGCAUCACACUUGAUUAAAAGAAUCCUGGCUGGAGGCUGGGCAUGGUGGCUUAUGCCUGUAAUCCCAGCUCUUUGGGAGGUCAAGCUGUGCUUUAGCACCUUGAAUAGUUCCUACCAUGCAGUAGGGAUCCAAUAUAAUCAUUGAAUGAAUGGAUGGAUGAAUGAAUGAGUGCAUUAGCACCAUGGCUUUAAA